UCGGGAAUUUUGGGCAAUGGGGGAAACCCUGACCCAGCAACGCCGCGUGAAGGAUGAAGUAUUUCGGUAUGUAAACUUCGAAAGAAUAGGAAGAAUAAAUGACGGUACUAUUUAUAAGGUCCGGCUAACUACGUGCCAGCAGCCGCGGUAAUACGUAGGGACCAAGCGUUGUUCGGAUUUACUGGGCGUAAAGGGCGCGUAGGCGGCAUGACAAGUCACUUGUGAAAUCUCUGGGCUUAACCCAGAACGGCCAAGUGAUACUGUCGCGCUAGAGUGCAGAAGGGGCAAUCGGAAUUCUUGGUGUAGCGGUGAAAUGCGUAGAUAUCAAGAGGAACACCUGAGGUGAAGACGGGUUGCUGGGCUGACACUGACGCUGAGGCGCGAAAGCCAGGGGAGCAAACGGGAUUAGAUACCCCUGUAGUCCCUGAGCGGGCUGGCAAGGCGCAU
Molecule: ribosomal RNA, 447 nt
Filed under: uncultured bacterium
Lineage: Bacteria
Description: bacterial SSU rRNA
Rfam family: Bacterial small subunit ribosomal RNA
Source: RNAcentral